AUUGAACGCUGGCGGCAUGCCUUACACAUGCAAGUCGAACGGCAGCACGGGUGCUUGCACCUGGUGGCGAGUGGCGAACGGGUGAGUAAUACAUCGGAACGUACCUUAUCGUGGGGGAUAACGCAGCGAAAGCUGUGCUAAUACCGCAUACGCCCUGAGGGGGAAAGCGGGGGAUCGCAAGACCUCGCGCGAUUAGAGCGGCCGAUGCCUGAUUAGCGAGUUGGUGGGGUAAAAGCCCACCAAGGCGACGAUCAGUAGCUGGUGCUGAGAGGACGAUCAGCCAAACUGGGACUGAGACACGGCCCAGACUCCUACGGGAGGCAGCAGUGGGGAAUUUUGGACAAUGGGGGCAACCCUGAUCCAGCAAUGCCGCGUGAGUGAAGAAGGCCUUCGGGUUGUAAAGCUCUUUUGUCAGGGAAGAAACACCGGCUCUAACACAGUCCGGGAAUGACGGUACCUGAAGAAUAAGCACCGGCUAACUACGUGCCAGCAGCCGCCGUAA
RNAcentral lists this ribosomal RNA (502 nucleotides) under uncultured bacterium. Its description in RNAcentral is "partial 16S ribosomal RNA". It matches the Rfam family "Bacterial small subunit ribosomal RNA", at positions 29 to 523 of the family's 1533-position model. The record is from RNAcentral.